Molecule: microRNA precursor, 112 nt
Organism: Chlorocebus sabaeus (green monkey)
Lineage: Eukaryota; Metazoa; Chordata; Mammalia; Primates; Cercopithecidae
Source: Ensembl
UGUCUUACUCAAGGUCAUAGAAAGACAUAGUUGCAAGAUGGGAUUAGAAACCAUAUGUCUCAUCAGCACCCUAUGUUCUUUCUGUGCCCUGGGAGCACACUCCAUUUAGCAG